AGUUGUCGUGCAGGGGAUGCCCAUCGUUUACUGUGAAAAAAUUAGAGUGUUCAAAGCAGGCUUAUGCCGUUGAAUAUAUUAGCAUGGAAUAAUGAUAUAGGACCUUGGUACUAUUUUGUUGGUUUGCGCACUAAGGUAAUGAUUAAGAGGGACAGUUGGGGGUAUUUGUAUUCCAUUGUCAGAGGUGAAAUUCUUGGAUUUUUGGAAGACAAACUACUGCGAAAGCAUUUACCAAGGAUGUUUUCAUUAAUCAAGAACGAAAGUUAGGGGAUCGAAGAUGAUUAGAUACCAUCGUAGUCUUAACCAUAAACUAUGCCGACAAGGGAUUGGCGGAGUCUCGUUUCGUCUCCGUCAGCACCUUGUGAGAAAUCAUAAGUCUUUGGGUUCCGGGGGGAGUAUGGUCGC
RNAcentral lists this ribosomal RNA (405 nucleotides) under Pseudo-nitzschia sp. RCC5308. RNAcentral describes it as "SSU rRNA". It matches the Rfam family "Eukaryotic small subunit ribosomal RNA", at positions 725 to 1132 of the family's 1831-position model. Lineage: Eukaryota; Bacillariophyta; Bacillariophyceae; Bacillariales; Bacillariaceae. The record is from RNAcentral.